GGAGACGAUCGACCCUACACGGUGACAUCAGGAGGCUGCAGGGAAAAGGGAGACUUCAUUCAUCUUCCAGCAGAAUAUCUCCUCAACCUGAGCCCCCUGACGACCGAAAAAAAAGAAAGUUUUGCGUACACUUUCGUACACGAGUGGGCGCACCUGCGGUAUGGCGUAUUUGACGAGUACGGUAAAUGGGCAAACCCUGUGUUUCCGGAAACAUACUGCGUGGGAGACAAGGUGAAACUGAGCUCUUGUUCGAGAAACCUGGGUUUCACCGCUCAACGAGAGGACGGUUCAAGGUGCAUUUUGGAUCCCGAGUGUAACUUGGAUAAAAAGUGCAUCAUCUCGCCAUAUAUUCUCGCAAAACACCCUGCAGAAAGCUCUAUCAUGUUCAUGCCGUACAUAAAGAACGUAAGAAUUCCUGUUUUUACUGCCUCU
This is a long non-coding RNA of Dermacentor silvarum, 432 nucleotides long. RefSeq lists it as uncharacterized. NCBI's taxonomy places the organism in Eukaryota, Metazoa, Arthropoda, Arachnida, Ixodida, Ixodidae. The transcript has 3 exons. The record is from RefSeq and is a predicted model, not a curated record.